This 429-nucleotide ribosomal RNA is filed under the name Actinomycetes bacterium. RNAcentral's name for it is "Actinobacteria bacterium partial 16S ribosomal RNA". It matches the Rfam family "Bacterial small subunit ribosomal RNA", at positions 355 to 776 of the family's 1533-position model. The record is from RNAcentral. Lineage: Bacteria; Bacillati; Actinomycetota; Actinomycetes.
UAGGGAAUCUUCCGCAAUGGGCGAAAGCUUGACGGAGCAACGCCGCGUGAGUGAUGAAGGUCUUCGGAUCGUAAAACUCUGUUAUUAGGGAAGAACAAAUGUGUAAGUAACUAUGCACGUCUUGACGGUACCUAAUCAGAAAGCCACGGCUAACUACGUGCCAGCAGCCGCGGUAAUACGUAGGUUGCAAGCGUUAUCCGGAAUUAUUGGGCGUAAAGCGCGCGUAGGCGGUUUUUUAAGGCUGAUGUGAAAGCCCACGGCUCAACCGUGGAGAGUCAUUGGAAACCGGAACACUUGAGUGCAGAAGAGGAAAGUGGAAUUCCAUGUGUAGCGCUGAAAGGCGCAGAGAUAUGGAGGAACACCAGUGGCGAAGGCGACUUUCUGGUCUGUAACUGACGCUGAUGUGCGACAGCGUGGGGAUCAAACAGG